AACCACAGCCAUAUCACCCUGCAGCCCAAGACCAGUUACUCUCUGAAACUAAGCAGGGCUGAGCCUGGUCAGUACCUGGAUGGGAGACCACUAGGGAACACUAGGUUGCUGUUGAAA
This 117-nucleotide ribosomal RNA is filed under the name Danio rerio (zebrafish). The record is from RNAcentral. Lineage: Eukaryota; Metazoa; Chordata; Actinopteri; Cypriniformes; Danionidae.